This is a long non-coding RNA of Uranotaenia lowii, 3639 nucleotides long. RefSeq lists it as uncharacterized. NCBI's taxonomy places the organism in Eukaryota, Metazoa, Arthropoda, Insecta, Diptera, Culicidae. The record is from RefSeq and is a predicted model, not a curated record. The transcript has 3 exons.
CUGUCCGUCAUUGUCAUCAUAUGGUGAGCGGCUUGGAAUAUCCGGAAACUUCCGGAUGUAGUUUACUUCCCGUGGGAAGUAACAUCCGGAAGUUUUCUUUGACCGGGAAUGUCAAAACUUUCCACCGCUCUGUAAUUGCAAUGCAAUGUACCGGAACAGCAACAUCCGGGUACAACAAAUUUUAAUCAUCCUUUAAUUCCUUGAAAAUCAGCUACCCUCGAAAAAAAAGGAUAAAUUCGAGUUCGGCUGCCGAACUUAGUAUUGAGUAUGCCUAUCAGAACUUAGUUUUGCUAUUGCCCAGUCAAACUCAAAGUUGAGGCAAGCCAUCGAAGUGAUGUUUUGAACCAAAACUACUUAAUUUUGAGUUUAAAUAAAAGAGCGUGCAGCAAUCGUUUGAGUUCGCGUGAAAAAUGUUUGUACACGGAAAAAUUGAGUUAUUCAUAAAAUGAAUUGCGAUUACACAUUCAUAAUAACUAAUGGAUUGUUGCUCAAAAUUUGUAUAUCCCGAAUUCAGUUUUGGGUAGUUUUGGGACGACAAUAUGCAGAAGUAAACUAAAACUCGAUUAUUCAGCUCUGUAUAAAAAGUUUGUUGUUGUUGGAAAGCUUUGAAAGGAGAUGUCAAAGCAUAAAAAGAUAUUAGAUUUGACUGCGUUUGUUAUGAAAGUUUUAAUUUUUCGCUAUUUUUGCGUUUGAAUCAACAUUAAAACUCGUAAAAGGUACGUUUUUCUCCAUUUAACUUGAUUUUUUUACGUAAUUGUUUGAUUUUAAGGGAGGCAAACGCCCGUGAUCCGAUGAAAUCCGAUCAAGUACAUUGGGGAUUCUUGCAGAAGAAAACCAAUGCCGAGAAUGCGCGCUCGCAAGAAAAGGAAGGAGAAGACAAGGUGCAGGUACGGAUACCGAAAAAAAAGCUGAGAAACGAGCUGGAACAAAAAAUUAUGACUCGUGAAACUUCCGCCGGAAGUAUAUCAAUUGGUUCCGCCAAAAUGAGAAUGUCCAACCACUUCAAAAAUAAAACGCAAAAAUCACGGAACUCCUGCCUCCAGUUGAACCGGAAAUUGUUCUGUGCCUGGCAUCCCCGGAUUUUGAACUAAAAUUGACAUGAGAAGUCUAUUCCCGCUCAGGGUUAGCUGCUUGGUUAGCCUAUUAAAAAUGUGAUUUUAAUGAAAUUUUUUGUUUCGGGUCAUUGCUGGGAUAAUCGUCUUGAAACGUUGCGAAAAAAUGCUUCCGAAGAUGAGCUGAAUUUAGAAACGAUAACAUUCAUAACAACAUUUCCAGCUACUUACUCAUCAUGGCACUUCCGAAGCAAGGUACAUCAGUGCUUUAUUUUUUCCUAUAAAAACCAUGACAAAACAAUGAGGAAAAAUGGAAAGAAGCCUUUUGAGCUGGUUUCGACCACUAAACUUGAUUCUGUAAAGUUGAGGGAACAGCCGAGCUAUUCAGCCUCGAUUCCCUCCUCGCUCCCUCGAGAUUGGCUUGCACGAAGACGUGAACCAGUACCGGAAGUGGUCGUCUAGGAAUCCGUAUCCUUUUUGUCAUUGAAUUUGACAACCAUCAAUCCUCCAUUUGAAUGACCGGUAUGUUUAAUUGAAAAUAAAGAUUUUGUUGCUACGGAAAAUAAAAAUGUUUUUUUUUUGAGAAAUUUCCUCAACUUUCACUUUUUUGAAGAAAUCUUGAAAAUGCAUGGGCAUCCCCAUGUCAAAAUAUACAGAAUUGACUAACUGGCUGAAAGCUUUCGAAUGUGUAAAAGCUUUUUGCUCACGCUCUGUGUAAAGCGCCCAAACAUAAAACUAAGUGGAGACACUUUUCUCGAAUCUGUAUGGAUUUUAAUACAGAACAGAGUAACUUUGUUUACCGUGUAUAGUAGCUGCGUUCAAUCGUAAGUAGCGAUUGGUUUCGACUAGUUUCUGUCAAGUGUUCGUUGUUCAAGGGGCUCAUGUUUUGGUCGAAACAGGUCUGGUCGUUGUUCAACGGAGCAAGUUGAAAUUGAUCGAAACUAGUCGAAACCGAUCCAGCUCGAAAGCAGGAUUCAUUUCUACCACACUAACACACAUGCAGCGUGUGUGUCAGACAGAGAGCAUGUUUUUGUUUAGUUUUCGCCAUUUCAUUUUCGCCAAGUGCUCUGGAUGUUUGGAUUCAGUCGGCGGUCGGAUUGUCGCUGUGCUAACUCUUCCUGCAAUUAUUCCUGUGCUGUGCGGUAGAAGUCGUCCCGCAUACCAAAAAACUACAUCUAACGGUUUCUACGAUACAUCAACGGUUUCCUAGAUUGAUGCAAGGUUCUUAGAUACACUAGGUUCUCCGACUUUCACAGUAAGUAGGCGAGGAGUGAGCGGGGCUCUCAAUGAGUUUGUUUAUUUUUUGCUCAGCUUUUCUGUGGUUUGUUGGUAAACAAACUUCAUGAGUUCCGCAUAGUUGCAUAGCCUACAUAGCCAAAAUGGCUGAAUCGGGAAUUCGUUAUUCGGGAACACCUCCUGAAUAUAUACCCACCUUGGAUUGAUGAUUACCCAAGCAACCAAAAGUCGCGUUUUUACUUAAAGAUGGAACUCCGAAGUUCACAUUUGGCUGAAAAAAUGUUUUACGGGAACUUCAGGUGACUCUUGUCGCGUAAAAGUUACUCAGGAACUUCCAUCGCCCUUUGAAAGGUUAAACUAUCGAUAACAGAACUUCUAGGCGCUUUCAAUGGAACUUCUUUCAAGAAGGUCGAUAACGUUCGCGUAACAUUCCAAAACGCACCAUUAUGAUACUUGAAGGUGUUUUAAAGAACCUAUAUGGGAAAUCUAAGCGACAUGUCAAAAAUGUUUUUCAAGAAGGUCGAUAACGUUCGCGUAACAUUCUAAAGCGCACCAUUAAGAUACUUGAAGGUGUUUUAAAGAACCUAUAUCGGAAUUCUAAGCGACAUGUCAUAAAUGUUUUUCAAGAAGGUCGAUAACGUUCGCGUAACAUUCUAAGGCGCACCAUUAAGAUACUUGAAGGUGUUUUAAAGAACCUAUUUGAAUUCUAAGCGACAUGUCAAAAAUGUCUGUCAAUUUUUUGUCAUGGUAUUUGUUUUGUUUAUAUCUGUACUGAUAUUUACAAAUGGAAUUCAAGAUUUUUUCGAAUUUUUCUUAUAAAUGUUAAAUAAGAUAUUCGAAUAAAUUUUGAUGAUGCGAAUUUUUGUUUUGAUUCAUAUUGUGUACUGAAAGUCCUUUGAACGAAAUAAGGUACCUUCUAUUGACCAACCCACUCAAUCAUCUCAAAUGACAUUAAGUUUAAAUACUAAUCAUUACAGUGGCAAUUAGCUAUUGAUGGAUUGGUCGAGAGGCUGAUGAGUUUCAUUGCAACCUAGAGAGCAGCGGUUCAAUUCUCUAGGCGUGUAAGCAGCUUUUGUAAUCAAAACAAUAUAAUAAAAAUCAAUGAGAUAGACCAUGAUAGACCGGCAACCUAGCAAUCUGACAUGUGGUUGUCAGAGCAAUCUGUCACUCGGAUUUUUUUUUCGGCGCGUAGAAGUUUCUUGACAUUCUCUUAGAAGCUGAAUAGCGUUCUCUACAGCCACCUAAACGAACUUGAAAGUAGCUUUAAGAACUUAAAUUUUGGGCUGAUUAGCAUUCUCUUCAGACACAAACGAGAGCUGAUUAAGCUUCUAUGGAACCUUUUUAAGGGAAU